Molecule: ribosomal RNA, 253 nt
Filed under: uncultured bacterium
Lineage: Bacteria
Description: partial 16S ribosomal RNA
Rfam family: Bacterial small subunit ribosomal RNA
Source: RNAcentral
UACAGAGGGUGCGAGCGUUAACCGGAAUUACUGGGCGUAAAGCGCACGUAGGUGGCGACGUAAGUCGGGCGUGAAAGCCCCGGGCUCAACCUGGGAAUUGCAUUCGAGACUGCAUUGCUGGAGUACGGAAGAGGAAGGCGGAAUUCCCGGUGUAGCGGUGAAAUGCGUAGAUAUCGGGAGGAACAUCAGUGGCGAAGGCGGCCUUCUGGUCCAGUACUGACACUCAAGUGCGAAAGCGUGGGGAGCAAACAGG